CCUGGUCCCCUCCACUCCUACCCAGCCAGCCCUAAGGACAGUGUCUGCUGCCACCUACUCCAUUACCUGACCCAGUGUCCACCAGUCAUGGAAAUGUCAGCCAGGGCUGUUCCUGAGCAUGUCCCCUUGGGGAGCUCAGGCCCAGCUCUGGGAGUCCACUGCUGCCUGUUCUCCCAGUUGCUCCUGGGUCAGCUAGGGGCAUCAGAGAGACAAUCCAGGUAGGGAACAGGGAGCUGAGGCUGUGGGAUCAGGGUCCUAGGGGCUGGUGUAGGAGCAGAUGCCCAGAGCCUCCAUAGAGGUUCCAGAUCCCUGAGGUCUGGAGGCCAGGAUGAUUUGGGGGCUCCCAAGGGAGAUGCCUCCUCAGAGGUAGCUGUCCAUCUUGUCCUGGGCCCCAGUGGUGUGCCUCAGGAACCCUGGCUGUGCUGGGCCUCUUCUUGUGUGGUUGGCCCAGGAAAAUAGCCCCAGCAGAGGGGCACCACAUUUGCAGGGGGUCAGCCCCAGCCCUGCCUAUGAAUGUCCAGGUGAAGCCACUCAGGGCAAGACCCAGACGUGGGUGGAUGAGGAUUUGGAAGAGGGAAGCAGGCAGGAAGCCCAGGCGGAAAUAGCUAGGGAGACCAGGCAUCUUGGGCCCUGUCCAGAAGGCCAGAUGUGUUUCAAGGAAGGCAGGCCAGAGCCAGGCCUGGACCUUAGGUGCAGUGUCGGGGACUGCUGUGGGCCUAGGCAGGCCUUUCCAGCUCCCAGCUACCCUGCCCCCAGGGACAAUCAGGGAUUCAGACCCUGAGGCCUGCAGGGAGAACAAUGGAGCCCUUGAAGGCCCCCCCCUUCACCCCCCAUUGUGCUUGGUGGCGAGAGGUGGCCCUGGCCCAGCCACACACCCUUGGGAAGGACCAGCAUCGUCCGGCAGGUGGAAGGGCUCACUGAGACUUGUAUUUCCCAGCCUGGAGAAGGUAGGGCUCUGCCUGGGAACCCCACCCACCUCCCCAGACUCAUCCAGAGCAGGAACUAGCGGUGAACCCCUCAGCCAGCUGAGGUAGGGUGACUUCACCCCUGCUGCACCCCACUCCUGGCUUAGCCUCAGGACCUGUGGGGAGGUAGGGGGGUUACAGAAGGACUCAUCCUGGGGAGCAUGCAACUGCUUGGAUUGUGCACUGAGGGGCCCCUCUGGGUGUCUGUUCAUCUUUGCCCAGCUGUGAGCAGGGGCCACUUAGGGGCUUCUGGGCAAUGGGUGGGGGAGAUGGGGCCUCAGGCUGCACAGGGCCUGCCUGGUGAGCAAGGCGUGCAUUUGGCAUCUCCCCCAGCAGCUGGGGCCCCUUGGCUGCAGCUGAUGAGCCCCCAGCCAGUUGCAGUGUGUUCAGAGGCUGGGCCUGGGCACUAUUUGGCUUGACUGAGAAAGCCAGAGGCAGGGGGUCCCACCCAGAGGGCCUGCCCCACUGCCAGGAGGCACUCAGCCUCUAAUCACUCAGGACCCCAGGCAGGCUGGCUGUCCUUUGAGCAAGCCCCUCUCACCUGCUGGGCCCAGGGCCUCAGCGGGGAGCAGAACAGACAUAUGGCCAAGGAGCAGGUCAUGCAAGGAUAGCAAACCUUGUGCUGAGUAGGG
This 1597-nucleotide long non-coding RNA is filed under the name Marmota monax (woodchuck). Lineage: Eukaryota; Metazoa; Chordata; Mammalia; Rodentia; Sciuridae. The record is from RNAcentral.